RNAcentral lists this ribosomal RNA (270 nucleotides) under uncultured bacterium. Its description in RNAcentral is "partial 16S ribosomal RNA". It matches the Rfam family "Bacterial small subunit ribosomal RNA", at positions 333 to 620 of the family's 1533-position model. The record is from RNAcentral.
UGUUUCCUACGGGACGCAGCAGUGGGGAAUAUUGCACAAUGGGGGAAACCCUGAUGCAGCAACGCCGCGUGAGUGAAGAGGUCAUUCGUGAUGUAAAGCUCUAUCAGCAGGGAAGAAAAUGACGGUACCUGAGUAAGAAGCCCCGGCUAACUACGUGCCAGCAGCCGCGGUAAUACGUAGGGGGCAAGCGUUAUCCGGAUUUACUGGGUGUAAAGGGAGCGUAGGCGGGGGUGCAAGUUGGGUGUCAAAACUACCGGCUCAACCGAUAGU